AUUGGGCGCUGGCGGCAUGCCUUACACAUGCAAGUCGAACGGUAACAGGUUAAGCUGACGAGUGGCGAACGGGUGAGUAAUACAUCGGAACGUGCCCAGUAGUGGGGGAUAGCCCGGCGAAAGCCGGAUUAAUACCGCAUACGACCUACGGGUGAAAGGGGGGGAUCGCAAGACCUCUCGCUAUUGGAGCGGCCGAUGUCAGAUUAGGUAGUUGGUGGGGUAAAAGCCUACCAAGCCGACGAUCUGUAGCUGGUCUGAGAGGACGACCAGCCACACUGGGACUGAGACACGGCCCAGACUCCUACGGGAGGCAGCAGUGGGGAAUUUUGGACAAUGGGCGCAAGCCUGAUCCAGCCAUGCCGCGUGCGGGAAGAAGGCCUUCGGGUUGUAAACCGCUUUUGUCAGGGAAGAAACGCUCUGGGUUAAUACCCUGGGGUAAUGACGGUACCUGAAGAAUAAGCACCGGCUAACUACGUGCCAGCCGCCGCCGUAA
Molecule: ribosomal RNA, 493 nt
Filed under: uncultured bacterium
Lineage: Bacteria
Description: partial 16S ribosomal RNA
Rfam family: Bacterial small subunit ribosomal RNA
Source: RNAcentral